GCCUGGCGCUGACAAACAAUCUGAUUAUGAGAUUUAACUUCGCCCCAAGUGGACUUCUGGAUCAGUGUGCUUCAGACUUCCACUAACCUAUCUACACAUAUACACCUGUACUACACCUGUACUACACCUGUACUCAAACUAAACCCUCAGAGAAAGACACUUCUGACCGUCCCAACUGUCCCAUAAAGGAGGGAUAGAAGAGCCGGACGCGCGCGCUGCUCGGAAUACAUAAAAAAGGACGGGAGGGCGCGCGCCCUCAGCAAUAACAGCUCUCUCUCUACAUCCCUCUUUCUCUCUCUCUUUUUUUCUUCUCUGUGGCUUGAAUUAAUCACUCACUGGUUUUAAUGGAGGUUCGGGUUGGAGGUUCGGGUUGACGCAGUAAGGAACUGCAGCUCGCUGAGUCCAAUACUGAAAGAGAGAGAGAGAGAGAGAGAGAGAGAGCGCGCGAGAGAGCGCGAGCGAGAUAGACAGACAGUAGGAUAGAGAGAGAGAGAGUGGUAGAGAGAGAAAGAGAGAGAGAGGAAGAGAGAGAGAGAACCCAGGAUUUGGAGCUCGCGGUCUUCACGCGUUCUGCCUCCCUGAAAACAAGCGUCUGUCUCGGGGUUCAUGGUGACAUAGAGGGGGACGGACCCCGGGUUCGGUUCUGGCAACACUCUGAUCUGGGUCUGAUCUGGGUCUUCUGCUGGUGCUCCAGUCAGCUUCGCGAGGAAGAGAGGGAGAGGAGCCAGCUGCUGAUGAAGGAGCUCAGAGAUGCGUGUUCUCACUGGAGAGUUUAACCUGAGCAGCCGGGGGUGUGCCUCUGGAUCCAUAAAUGAGACUAAAGCGAUGGGAGAAAGGAAAAAACACGGGGACAAGGGCCAUCAAGAAUGUUAUCUCCAGAGAAAAUAAGCACAAGCUAGUCUGAAGUGGAGAAAGACUGCAAAUCCAACACUUCUUUAACCCAGGAAAUUCCUCUCCAAGUGCAUGCGCUGUGGCCAGGAUGGAAUGACCAGUGGUGACCAGGAGUGAAAGGUGAAACGUCAAGCUAAUGCGAAACAGUGGAGGAAAGUGGGUUCUAGGUUAGACCGUGGACAUCUGCUGCACCUUGUCUACACGUUAGAAACAGCCGACUAUCCUGCCAGAAUACUGUGAGGCUCAGUCCAGCCUAGUGGAAACUACACGUGACAUCCCAAGCU
Molecule: long non-coding RNA, 1175 nt
Filed under: Astyanax mexicanus (Mexican tetra)
Lineage: Eukaryota; Metazoa; Chordata; Actinopteri; Characiformes; Acestrorhamphidae
Description: lncRNA (ENSAMXG00005024435.1)
Source: RNAcentral